Long non-coding RNA from Epinephelus moara (kelp grouper), 361 nucleotides. RefSeq lists it as uncharacterized. The record is from RefSeq and is a predicted model, not a curated record. The transcript has 2 exons. NCBI's taxonomy places the organism in Eukaryota, Metazoa, Chordata, Actinopteri, Perciformes, Serranidae.
AACCUGGGACAUAUCAUUCAAGAUCGCUGUGUCACGACCAAUCCCACAUUUCAGAUGUUGUGCAAGGAGAGAGAGGUACUAGAGGUCUCGAUGCUAUCCCUGAGGGACGUCCGAGCUGAGACACUGGUACGCCCAAUCAACAGCAGUCUUUUCAGGCUGACAGCCUACAGACAGUUCACCCUUUGGUCCAGGGGUCAUCUUGGCAGGAGGAACAGGAUCCCAAUUCCAUCCUGUGUUGUGAAUGCCAUCAGGAACGUAUUCCCAUCCAAAGAAUACCAUGGAUUUGAGUACUUUUAUGACUUGUAAAAAAGGUAGUGUAUCUCAAGCAAUAAAUUGUUUUCUAAUCAAUCGUUACAUUGUA